This 482-nucleotide ribosomal RNA is filed under the name uncultured bacterium. RNAcentral describes it as "partial 16S ribosomal RNA". It matches the Rfam family "Bacterial small subunit ribosomal RNA", at positions 30 to 507 of the family's 1533-position model. The record is from RNAcentral.
AGUGAACGCUGGCGGCAGGCCUAACACAUGCAAGUCGAGCGGCAGCGGGUCCUUCGGGAUGCCGGCGAGCGGCGGACGGGUGAGGAAUACAUCGGAAUCUGCCCUGUCGUGGGGGAUAACCUAGGGAAACUUAGGCUAAUACCGCAUACGACCUACGGGUGAAAGCGGGGGAUCGCAAGACCUCGCGCGACAGGAUGAGCCGAUGUCCGAUUAGCUAGUUGGCGGGGUAAAGGCCCACCAAGGCGACGAUCGGUAGCUGGUCUGAGAGGAUGAUCAGCCACACUGGGACUGAGACACGGCCCAGACUCCUACGGGAGGCAGCAGUGGGGAAUAUUGGACGAUGGGCGCAAGCCUGAUCCAGCCAUGCCGCGUGGGUGAAGAAGGCCUUCGGGUUGUAAAGCCCUUUUGUCCGAAGAAAUCGUCUGGGCUAAUACCCCGGGCGGAUGACGGUACCGGAAGAAUAAGCACCGGCUAACUUCGUG